AUUGAACGCUGGCGGCAUGCCUUACACAUGCAAGUCGAACGGCAGCACGGGAGCAAUCCUGGUGGCGAGUGGCGAACGGGUGAGUAAUAUAUCGGAACGUGCCCAGUCGUGGGGGAUAACGUAGCGAAAGCUACGCUAAUACCGCAUACGAUCUAUGGAUGAAAGCGGGGGAUCGCAAGACCUCGCGCGAUUGGAGAGGCCGAUAGCAGAUUAGGUAGUUGGUGGGGUAAAGGCGCACCAAGCCGACGAUCUUUAGCUGGUCUGCGAGGACGACCAGCCACAAGGGGACUGAGACACGGCCCAACCUCCUACGGUAGGCAGCAGUGGGGAAUUUUGGACAGUUGGCGCAAGCCUGAUCCAGCAAUGCCGCGUGCAGGAUGAAGGCCUUCGGGUUGUAAACUACUUUUGUCCGUAGCGAAAAGGCUCUCUCUAAUACAGGGGGCUCAUGACGGUACCGUAAGCAUAAGCACCGGCUAACUACGUGCCAGCCGCCGCCGUAA
RNAcentral lists this ribosomal RNA (500 nucleotides) under uncultured bacterium. RNAcentral's name for it is "partial 16S ribosomal RNA". It matches the Rfam family "Bacterial small subunit ribosomal RNA", at positions 30 to 523 of the family's 1533-position model. The record is from RNAcentral.